Long non-coding RNA from Syzygium oleosum, 873 nucleotides. RefSeq lists it as uncharacterized. The record is from RefSeq and is a predicted model, not a curated record. NCBI's taxonomy places the organism in Eukaryota, Viridiplantae, Streptophyta, Magnoliopsida, Myrtales, Myrtaceae. The transcript is spliced from 2 exons.
UUUCAUAUUGGGUUGAGAUGUAGGUAUCACUUAUCGCAAUGUCACACUAUAUUCAUUGAUAUGUUGGUUGAUAGAACUUCCUAGCUUAUGUGAUAGAUAAGUUUAUUGCUUAUCAUAUAAAUGUAUGCGUAUUAGUAUGGUGAUACUAUUCAUCUUCCCAUGUCCUCAUGCCAUUUCUGCUCUAAAUCAUAGGCAAGAGGAUGCAUAUGACUAAGUGGAUGAGUGUUAUAAGAAGACCAAGUUCGUAGCUGCAUAUCAGAACAUGAUUCAACCCAUACGAGGAGAGAAAUUUUGGAAAAAGACUAAUAAGGAGGCCCCUGAAUCACUUCCAGCGAGGGCGAAGCCUGGUAGACGCAAACAUAAAAGAAUAAGAGAGGAAGGUGAGGUCGCAAGUGGUAUUAGGAUGUCGAGGGUAGGAAUGAAGAUGACAUGUCGAAGUUGCAAGAAGACGGGACACAAUAGUUUAACAUGCCCCACUAAGAAGGCUGGGUUAGCGGCAUCACAAACACCAUUGUCUAGGCAAAAACUUCCGGUAAGUUAAGAGUAAAAGUGCUAGAGAGGACAAGAGACAAAGAAUUGAUACACAAGCACAUGUUGAAUCAACAUCACAAGAAGCUGAAGUUGAAGUUCCAGUUAAAGUAGCAAGGCCAUCAAGAAAGAAAAAAAAUAUUGAAAGGACGCAACUCUGACCUAUAAGAAUGAUAGCCAUUUGUGAGGGUUGGGUUUAGGGAAGUGAUGUGGCUGUAUUUUUUUGUUGAUGAUGGGUUCAGGGAAGUGAUGUGGUUGUUUUUGUUCUUUUGUUGCUGAUGGAUUCAGUGAAUGAGAUGUUGACUAUUCCAUUAUGCAAUGAUCGUGGGAAAGAUAGUCUAGUUA